This is a long non-coding RNA of Salvia splendens (bonfire salvia), 481 nucleotides long. RefSeq lists it as uncharacterized. NCBI's taxonomy places the organism in Eukaryota, Viridiplantae, Streptophyta, Magnoliopsida, Lamiales, Lamiaceae. The record is from RefSeq and is a predicted model, not a curated record. The transcript is spliced from 3 exons.
CACUUCUGUUUCUCCAUUUACUACUCCUUGGCAGCAAAAGUUGGUGGCGAUGAAUCGGAGAAACGACGAGGAAGAAGCUCAAGUCAAUCCAUUUUCGGAAUCAAAGAAAAAGGAGAACGAAGUUGCUACAUGGGAAUCAGAUUUAAAGAAAAAAGAGAGGGUUGUAGAUUCCGAGUCUGGAUUUCUGAGGAAGGUGUUUGCGGCAGAGGAUGGUGAUCACAAGUGAGCUCAUCUUGGCAUGCUUGCCCGAUGUUGAUGUAGCAAGGGUGAAAUGUGUGUGCUUGGAGCUGAGGUAUAUUGGGUGGUCAGCGUGUUGGCUUGGUUUGAUAGGUUUCAAGGUCUAUCACACAACGCAAUGUUUCAUUUAACAAAUCCAACCUUACUUCCUUUCUUGGAUUCAAUCAUCCAUGGACUAGUAUUUUAGUAGGACCAUGGGAUGAUAUUAUAUACUACUACUACUACUACUAGUUUGUUAUUAACU